This 833-nucleotide long non-coding RNA is filed under the name Gossypium barbadense (sea-island cotton). Its description in RNAcentral is "long non-coding RNA (GBAR_LNC016880)". The record is from RNAcentral. Lineage: Eukaryota; Viridiplantae; Streptophyta; Magnoliopsida; Malvales; Malvaceae.
GGAAGUUGCUAAGAAGAUUUUGCAGAUUCUAUUGGCAAUGUCAGCAAGUGAAGAUUUCCAAGUCUGGAGAGGCGAGCCUUCUGGUAAUUUUUCGGUUCGAAGUGCCUACACACUAUUACAGGAGGGUAUUCAAAAUCCUAUUAAUUUACAGACCGAGACUAAAGCUUUUUACAAAAAAUUAUGGAAUUUACAAAUCCUCCCGAAAAUUAAAAUUACAAUAUUGGGAAUCUCUUGGAAUUAUAUUCCUAAUUUUGCUAAUCUAAAGAUCAAAAGAACAAUUGCAGAUGCUCGAUGUCCCCGAUGCAAUCUGAAAGAGGAUGAUUGUAACCAUAUUUUUCGUGGAUGUCCUACAACAAAAGAAGUUUGGAGACUCAUACAGUUAUCGUGGAUUCUCAAUAAUACUGAAGAUACUUUUUGGAACUGGUUUACAUGGGUUUUCUGUCGUGGAUCAAAUGAACAGUGUCGUCUUUUUUGUUACGAGCUUUGAAUCAUCUGGACAAGCAGGAACAGAUUUGUUUAUGAAAAUAGACAAUCAACAAGCAAAGACAUCUCUUUUAAAAUUUCAGACUUUAUUUUCGAACUAAGAGGAGUGGAGGAAAAGAAACUUAUCUUGGCUGGAAAUGGCGAUUCAAGAACUGAAGUGAGUAGAAUGAGCAGAUCAGUUUACUUUAAUGCGGCAUUUGAUCAUCAACAUGCAAGAUCUGCUUCGAGAUUGAUUGUUCGAGGCGAGGGAGGGGAGAUUUUGGUCUCAAAAUCAGUUAUUCAUACCAACAUAGCAACUCCAUUCGCGGCAGAGGCACAUGCAGGGUUACAAGCCUUAGAGUUAGGAAGGU